RNAcentral lists this ribosomal RNA (433 nucleotides) under uncultured bacterium. Its description in RNAcentral is "partial 16S ribosomal RNA". It matches the Rfam family "Bacterial small subunit ribosomal RNA", at positions 29 to 507 of the family's 1533-position model. The record is from RNAcentral.
AGCGAACGCUGGCGGCAGGCUUAACACAUGCAAGUCGAGCGGGCACUUCGGUGUCAGCGGCAGACGGGUGAGUAACACGUGGGAACGUACCCUUUGGUUCGGAAUAACGCUGGGAAACUAGCGCUAAUACCGGAUACGCCCUUUUGGGGAAAGGCUUGCUGCCGAAGGAUCGGCCCGCGUCUGAUUAGCUAGUUGGUGGGGUAAUGGCCUACCAAGGCGACGAUCAGUAGCUGGUCUGAGAGGAUGAUCAGCCACACUGGGACUGAGACACGGCCCAGACUCCUACGGGAGGCAGCAGUGGGGAAUACUGGACAAUGGGCGCAAGCCUGAUCCAGCCAUGCCGCGUGAGUGAUGAAGGCCUUAGGGUUGUAAAGCUCUUUUGUCCGGGACGAUAAUGACGGUACCGGAAGAAUAAGCCCCGGCUAACUUCGUG